This 247-nucleotide long non-coding RNA is filed under the name Mytilus galloprovincialis (Mediterranean mussel). Lineage: Eukaryota; Metazoa; Mollusca; Bivalvia; Mytilida; Mytilidae. The record is from RNAcentral.
GUGGUGGUUACAUAGACAUUUGGCAUCCGCCUUGGCCAAAAGUCCUGCUUUUCGCCGGAUUUUGGUCCGAUCGAGCAAAUUUUGCAUCAGAUUUGACAUGGUUUAGACGAUGAAAACCACCACCAAUAUCAUAAAGUCAGCUUGAAUUUGCUUUGCGGGACAAGUGGAAUAACAUUCCUCGGGAUUACAUUAAACGUCCGGGAUGAUCAAUUCCACGGCGCUGUCGAGAUUGCGCUGCACCACGGGG